AGUAGAAGGAUAACAUGACAUAGCAGGAAUAAUACUGCCUUUUCUUUCUGGCAUGGAUCAAGAGAAAAGAAAAUACAAGAAAACAGACAGAAGAUCCUAUCUGCGACAAUUAAGAGCACUCUAAGAGGAAAACACAUCCCACCACAGCAAGGUACUUCUAUGGAAGGGUGAGCCCUCACAGAUGGAGCAAUGGGGCGCGCACACCUGAACAAGGGAGGGGAAGGAGUUCUUAUCCCUGAUGCAUGUGACCCCUGCUGCUGUGUCCUUCCCCUAUUGGCUAAGGCUUCUGACAGCUUUGGAGAUUGUGACAUUGGAAUAAAGGAAAAACGUACAGGACUCAUGAAGCGCUGAAAUGUUCACAAAUAUCAAGCAAAAGUCAAUGAAAUUUAUUUUGAGCUAUUUACAUCAUUUAAUAAUUGAGCAAGGUAUACUCCUAUGAACAAAAUUUGGAGCAUGUUUGUCUCUCUCUGCCUGGCGUCUUCAGAAUUUGGAAACUAGUUAGUCAUGGAAAUUUAUUUUGAGCUAUUUACAGCAUUUAAUAAUUGAGCAAGGUAUACUCCUAUGAACAAAAUUUGGAGCAUGUUUGUCUCUCUCUGUCUGCCUGGCAUCUACAGAAUUUGGAAACUAGUUUCGUUCCCAGAUUUCCUAAACUUUCCAGAGAAAAUGGUCUUCUCCCUGGCUCAGCAAGAAGAUGAACUUUAAACACUGAGAAACUGGUCAUCUCCCUGGCUCAACCAGAAGAUGAACUUUAAACACUACUCUCAAUGACUUGAUGUUCCCAUCACUACUCCUGUCAUAAAGGGAGGGGACUCAGAUAUUGAGAAUUUUAUGAUAGUGUGAACUGUCUGGUAUGUCAUUUAAGUAAGCCCGUUGCUGAAAUAUUUUCCAUGUUAUUAGAAAGAGCUGAAGAGAGGGAUUGAGAUGGCUUCUUUAUUUUUUGUCUUUUGGGAAUUAAAGGAACCUGGUUCAACAAGGGCCUACACCUAAGUCUCUUGUUGUACCAGAGUACAAUUUAGGACUGCUCCUGAGGAAGGAAUUAGCUAGAAAUCUAGAGAGUAAGGGUAACAGAUUUACAUAGAAUAACAGCCUCAGUAUUUUUGGUUCCUCUCCAGUAAAGAUCACAAAGAAUAUUGCUAAAUCGCUAAAACACCUUUGCAAUAACGUAAGGGCUUACAACUAUAUACCAAUGUAGCUCAGUUACUAAACUGGAGUAAACUAAUUUCUCUUGUGUAGAAAAAUUGGUUGGCUGUGGUUUUAUAGCAGAUCUGCAAUUAUUAAUAGUUAUGCCAAUAAUCGUUUAACAGUGCAUAUGUUAAUAUAUAUGGAAAGACAAUGUGUAUAGACAGAUGUGUAAAAUUGAAAAAUAAACAUAUAACAAGAGAGAAACAUCUAUCGAACAGACAAUAUACAUACACAUCAAACACAACAGCAGUUUUAGUGACCAUAAUAUUUAUUUCUCAUUUUUACAUUGCUUACUUUAGUGACAACUGAAAAUGACAGUUGGCAAUGCAGCUAACAGUUUCAAUAAAAGUAUAAAACAAAAGACUGUGUACAAAGCACCUGUCUUUCCGCUUUUGUAAUCUUCCGUUGGAAAAAAUUUACACACCUAAGUAACCAUCUGUUUUCUUCAAGAAAAAAUCAUUCUUAUUUCUCUCUCUCAUCUUGAAAACAGCUGUCAGCCAGGAGGGCAGAGCUGAAAUUUAUUGCCACAUCACAUGAAGCAUAGAACAGACUCCACUACUCCUUGAGAUUCAAAACUUUGCCUCUCACAAAGUUACCUUUUAUUUUCCUCUUGUUUGUCACUCAUCUCCCCUAGUGUGCUCUUUUUAUUUCUUUUACUAUUAAUAAUAAAAUCUGUGGAUGACUGUAUUAUU
This 1874-nucleotide long non-coding RNA is filed under the name Homo sapiens (human). RNAcentral describes it as "non-protein coding LINC00320:26". Lineage: Eukaryota; Metazoa; Chordata; Mammalia; Primates; Hominidae. The record is from RNAcentral.